Molecule: non-coding RNA, 407 nt
Organism: Pelobates cultripes (western spadefoot toad)
Lineage: Eukaryota; Metazoa; Chordata; Amphibia; Anura; Pelobatidae
Source: the annotation of a GenBank genome assembly
ACUAGUCACUCCCUCCUAACUGUGUCACCUGCUCCCUCACUCUGUCACUAGUCACCCCUCCCUCACUCUGUCACUAAUCACCCCCUCUGUCCUUAGUGAGAGAGGGGGUGACUAGUGAGAGUGAGGAAGGGGGUGACAUAGUGAGGGAGGGGGUGACUAGUGACAUAGUGAGGGACGGGGUAACACAGUGACAGAGUUAGGGAGGGAGUGACAAGUGACAGAGAGAGGGAUGGGGUGACUAGUGACAGUCACCCCCUCUCUCACUCUGUCACUAGUCACCCCCUCUCUCACUCUGUCACUAGUCACACCCUCUCUCACUCUGUCACUAGUCACACCCUCUCUCACUCUGUCACCAGUCAUCCCUUCCUUCCCUCACUCUGCCACUAGUCAUCCCUUCCCUCACUCUG